This 253-nucleotide ribosomal RNA is filed under the name uncultured bacterium. Its description in RNAcentral is "partial 16S ribosomal RNA". It matches the Rfam family "Bacterial small subunit ribosomal RNA", at positions 524 to 776 of the family's 1533-position model. The record is from RNAcentral.
UACGGAGGGGGCUAGCGUUGUUCGGAAUUACUGGGCGUAAAGCGCGCGUAGGCGGACCUGCAAGUCGGGGGUGAAAGCCCGAGGCUCAACCUCGGAACUGCCUUCGAUACUGCAGGUCUCGAGUCCGGGAGAGGUGAGUGGAAUUCCUAGUGUAGAGGUGAAAUUCGUAGAUAUUAGGAAGAACACCAGUGGCGAAGGCGGCACACUGGCUCGGUACUGACGCUGAGGCGCGAAAGCGUGGGUAGCAAACAGG